CUCAUACUCCCUCCGUCCGAAAAUACUUGUCAUCAAAAUGGAUAAAAAAAUAUAUGUAUAACUAAAAUACGUCUAGAUACACUCUCUUUUAUCCAUUUUAAUGACAGGUAUUUCCGGACGAAGGGAGUACAAA
Non-coding RNA from Triticum aestivum (bread wheat), 133 nucleotides. Lineage: Eukaryota; Viridiplantae; Streptophyta; Magnoliopsida; Poales; Poaceae. The record is from Rfam.